This 496-nucleotide ribosomal RNA is filed under the name uncultured bacterium. Its description in RNAcentral is "partial 16S ribosomal RNA". It matches the Rfam family "Bacterial small subunit ribosomal RNA", at positions 28 to 507 of the family's 1533-position model. The record is from RNAcentral.
GACGAACGCUGGCGGCGUGCCUAAUACAUGCAAGUCGAACGCUGAAGAGAGGAGCUGCUCUUCUUGGAUGAGUUGCGAACGGGUGAGUAACGCGUAGGUAACCUGCCUUGUAGCGGGGGAUAACUAUUGGAAACGAUAGCUAAUACCGCAUAACAAUGGAUGACCCAUGUCAUUUAUUUGAAAGGGGCAAAUGCUCCACUACAAGAUGGACCUGCGUUGUAUUAGCUAGUAGGUGAGGUAACGGCUCACCUAGGCGACGAUACAUAGCCGACCUGAGAGGGGGAUCGGCCACACUGGGACUGGGACACGGCCCAGACUCCUACGGGAGGCAGCAGUAGGGAAUCUUCGGCAAUGGGGGCAACCCUGACCGAGCAACGCCGCGUGAGUGAAGAAGGUUUUCGGAUCGUAAAGCUCUGUUGUAAGUCAAGAACGAGUGUGAGAGUGGAAAGUUCACACUGUGACGGUAGCUUACCAGAAAGGGACGGCUAACUACGUG